This 445-nucleotide ribosomal RNA is filed under the name uncultured bacterium. RNAcentral's name for it is "partial 16S ribosomal RNA". It matches the Rfam family "Bacterial small subunit ribosomal RNA", at positions 354 to 796 of the family's 1533-position model. The record is from RNAcentral.
GUGAGGAAUAUUGGUCAAUGGGCGGGAGCCUGAACCAGCCAAGUCGCGUGAAGGAAGAAGGAUCUAUGGUUCGUAAACUUCUUUUGCAGGGGAAUAAAGUGCAGGACGUGUCCUGUUUUGUAUGUACCCUGAGAAUAAGGAUCGGCUAACUCCGUGCCAGCAGCCGCGGUAAUACGGAGGAUCCGAGCGUUAUCCGGAUUUAUUGGGUUUAAAGGGUGCGUAUGUGGUUUGAUAAGUCAGCGGUGAAAGUUUGCAGCUUAACUGUAAAAAUGCCGUUGAAACUGUCGGACUUGAGUGUAAAUGAGGUAGGCGGAAUGCGUGGUGUAGCGGUGAAAUGCAUAGAUAUCACGCAGAACUCCGAUUGCGAAGGCAGCUUACUAAGCUACAACUGACACUGAAGCACGAAAGCGUGGGGAUCAAACAGGAUUAGAAACCCCGGUAGUCC